Molecule: ribosomal RNA, 440 nt
Filed under: uncultured bacterium
Lineage: Bacteria
Description: partial 16S ribosomal RNA
Rfam family: Bacterial small subunit ribosomal RNA
Source: RNAcentral
CCUACGGGAGGCAGCAGUGGGGAAUAUUGCACAAUGGGGGGAACCCUGAUGCAGCAACGCCGCGUGGGUGAAGAAGUACUCCGGUAUGUAAAGCCCUGUCAGCAGGGAAGAAAAUGACGGUACCUGAGUAAGAAGCCCCGGCUAACUACGUGCCAGCAGCCGCGGUAAUACGUAGGGGGCAAGCGUUAUCCGGAUUUACUGGGUGUAAAGGGAGCGUAGACGGCAGUGCAAGUCUGGAGUGAAAGGCGGGGGCUCAACCCCCGGACUGCUCUGGAAACUGUACGGCUGGAGUGCAGGAGAGGUAAGUGGAAUUCCUAGUGUAGCGGUGAAAUGCGUAGAUAUUAGGAGGAACACCAGUGGCGAAGGCGGCUUACUGGACUGUAACUGACGUUGAGGCUCGAAAGCGUGGGGAGCAAACAGGAUUAGAUACCCGAGUAGUC